CUGACCUGGAACAUAAUCUCGGAAUAAUUAGUUCUACUUUACUGGAAAAUUUUGAUCCAGUAUCAUGGGUUCAUCCGGUAUAAUCAAACAAUUUGCUGCUGCAGAAGAUUCUUACAGAUUGAGUUUGCUGCUCCUUUUCUUUGCAAAAAUGAAAGCCUACAACGGAUGGUGAAGCCUUACAUGUGCAUCUGUUGCAGAGCUCCCCAGGUCGCAACAGUAGCUUCUGCUUCAACUCUUACCCUUGGGCCACAGGGCUGGGGUUCAAGAGGAAUAUGCCACUGCUUCCAGUGAGCCAAGAGCUCACUGCUCUCGCUGGAAGCUCACUGGCUGCUGGACGGCAAGAGAAGGGGACGUUUGUGGAAGAAAGUGGAUUCUUUCCCUUUUCUGCUGGGAGAACUCUUCCCUGAGCUAAGGAGAACUUUACUAUUAUUAUCCU
Lontra canadensis (Northern American river otter) is the source of this 436-nucleotide long non-coding RNA. RefSeq lists it as uncharacterized. NCBI's taxonomy places the organism in Eukaryota, Metazoa, Chordata, Mammalia, Carnivora, Mustelidae. The transcript is spliced from 3 exons. The record is from RefSeq and is a predicted model, not a curated record.